CCCUGGAACGGGACGCCGCAGAGGGUGAGAGCCCCGUACGGUCGGACGCCGAGCCUCUGUAAAGCUCCUUCGACGAGUCGAGUAGUUUGGGAAUGCUGCUCAAAAUGGGAGGUAAACCCCUUCUAAAGCUAAAUACCGGCCAGAGACCGAUAGCGCACAAGUAGAGUGAUCGAAAGAUGAAAAGCACUUUGAAAAGAGAGUUAAAAAGCACGUGAAAUUGUUAAAAGGGAAGCGCUUGCGACCAGACUUGCGCCCGUCGGAUCAACCGUCGCUUGCGGCGGCGCACUCCGGCGGGCUCAGGCCAGCAUCAGUUCGCUCGGGGGGAGAAAGGCGGCGGGAAUGUAGCUCCUCGGAGUGUUAUAGCCCGCCGUGUAAUACCCUCGGGUGGACUGAGGACCGCGCGUAUGCAAGGAUGCUGGCGUAAUGGUCGUCAGCGACCCGUCUUGA
RNAcentral lists this ribosomal RNA (447 nucleotides) under Scopulariopsis fusca. RNAcentral describes it as "LSU rRNA". It matches the Rfam family "Eukaryotic large subunit ribosomal RNA", at positions 188 to 657 of the family's 3401-position model. The record is from RNAcentral. Lineage: Eukaryota; Fungi; Ascomycota; Sordariomycetes; Microascales; Microascaceae.